GACAGAGGGUGCAAACGUUGCUCGGAAUCACUGGGCGUAAAGGGCGUGUAGGCGGGACGGUAAGUCGGGCGUGAAAUCCCUAGGCUCAACCUAGGAACUGCACUCGAAACUACCAUUCUUGAGUGUCGGAGAGGAAAGCGGAAUUCCUGGUGUAGAGGUGAAAUUCGUAGAUAUCAGGAGGAACACCGGUGGCGAAGGCGGACUUCUGGGACCGAUACUGACGCUGAGGACGAAGAAGCGUGGGGAGCAAACAGG
Molecule: ribosomal RNA, 255 nt
Filed under: uncultured bacterium
Lineage: Bacteria
Description: partial 16S ribosomal RNA
Rfam family: Bacterial small subunit ribosomal RNA
Source: RNAcentral